GUUAGGUCAAGGUGUAGCCCAUGAGAUGGGGAAGUAAUGGGCUACAUUUUCUAUAACUAGAACAUCCACGAAAAUCCUUAUGAAAUUAAGUAUUAAAGGAGGAUUUAGUAGUAAAUUCGAGAAUAGAGAGCUCGAUUGAAUCGGG
RNAcentral lists this ribosomal RNA (145 nucleotides) under Panthera tigris tigris (Bengal tiger). RNAcentral describes it as "partial 12S ribosomal RNA". The record is from RNAcentral. Lineage: Eukaryota; Metazoa; Chordata; Mammalia; Carnivora; Felidae.